Collybiopsis luxurians FD-317 M1 is the source of this 85-nucleotide non-coding RNA. The record is from the annotation of a GenBank genome assembly. Lineage: Eukaryota; Fungi; Basidiomycota; Agaricomycetes; Agaricales; Omphalotaceae.
GUCCCUGUCGAUUAGUGGUCAAAUCAUCGUGUUGUGGUAAUUGUGCUGUUCCGCGAAGCCGGGAGCUCGAAUCUCCCCAGGGACA